This 406-nucleotide ribosomal RNA is filed under the name uncultured bacterium. RNAcentral's name for it is "partial 16S ribosomal RNA". It matches the Rfam family "Bacterial small subunit ribosomal RNA", at positions 30 to 526 of the family's 1533-position model. The record is from RNAcentral.
AUUGAACGCUGGCGGCAGGCCUAACACAUGCAAGUCGAACGAGUGGCGGACGGGUGAGUAAUGUCUGGGAAACUGCCUGAUGGAGGGGGAUCACUACUGGAAACGGUAGCUAAUACCGCAUACCAUCAGAUGUGCCCAGAUGGGUUUAGCUUGUUGGUGGGGUAACAGUUCACCACGGCGACGAUCCCUAGCGGGUAUGAGAGGAUGAGCAGCAACACUGGAACAGAGACACGGUCCAGACUCCUACGUGUGGCAGCAGUAGGGAAUAAUGCACAAUGGGCGCAAGCCUUAUACAGCCAUGCCGCGUGUAUGAAGAAGGCCUUCGGGUUGUAAAGAACUUUCAGCGGGGAGGCGUUACCCGCAGAAGAAGCACCGGCUAACUCCGUGCCAGCCGCCGCGGUAAUUC